UUGGAAGCAGCCAUUCAUUUAAAGAGUGCGUAACAGCUCACUAGUCGAGGAGUUUGGCGUGGAUAAUAAUCGGGUAUCAAGUUGUCUACCGAAGCAGUGGGAUCAUUUAUAUGAUCGGUAGGGGAGCAUUCCAGUCGGCGUCGAAGGCGUACCGUGAGGUAUUCUGGAGCGUCUGGAAAAGCAAAUGUAGGUAUAAGUAACGAUAAAGGGGGCGGGAAACCCCCUCGCCGAAAGACUAAGGUUUCCUGAUCAACGCUAAUCGGAUCAGGGUCAGUCGGGUCCUAAGGCUCAGCCGAACGGCGAUGCCGAUGGCAGAAACGGUUAAUAUUCCGUUACUACCUUCAGGAGUGACGUGGAGACGCAGUAGUGACAGUGCCGCCAUCUGACGGAAUAGAUGGUUGAAGGGUGUAGGAGUCGAUCAUGGCAGGCAAAUCCACCAUGAGAUCCGAACCUGAUAGUAUGCCGCGUCCUUCGGGACAAGGCAAUAGUGCGCGUAAGCAUGCUGCCGAGAAAAUCCGCUAAACUUAAUCCUGCAGGUACCCGUACCGCAAACGGACACACGUAGUCGGGAUGAAUAUUCUAAGGCGCUUGAGUGAUUCACGGUUAAGGAACUAGGCAAACUGACCCUGUAACUUCGGGAUAAAGGGUCCCUACCCUUUUAUGGGAGGGCGCAGAGAAUCGGUCCAGGCAACUGUUUAACAAAAACACAGGGCUGUGCCAAAUCGAAAGAUCCAGUAUACAGCCUGACACCUGCCCGGUGCUGGAAGGUUAAGAGGAGAUGUCAUCGAUAAGAGAAGCGUUGAAUUGAAGCCCCAGUAAACGGCGGCCGUAACUAUAACGGUCCUAAGGUAGCGAAAUUCCUUGUCGGGUAAGUUCCGACCUGCACGAAUGGUGUAAUGAUCCGGACGCUGUCUCAACCAUGAGCUCAGUGAAAUUGUAGUAUCGGUGAAGAUGCCGAUUACCCGCGAUGGGACGAAAAGACCCCGUGAACCUUUACUAUAGCUUAUCAUUGAAUCUGGGCACGUGAUGUGUAGGAUAGGUCGGAGGCUUUGAAGCAGGUACGCCAGUAUUUGUGGAGCCGCUGUUGAAAUACGACCCUUUAUUUGUUUGGAUUCUAACCCGUGGAUACGGGGACAUUGAUUGGUGGGUAGUUUGACUGGGGUGGUCGCCUCCAAAAGCGUAACGGAGGCUUCUAAAGGUGCCCUCCGGCCGAUUGGUAACCGGCCUUAGAGUGUAAUGGCAUAAGGGCGCUUGACUGGGAGACUGACAAGUCGAUCAGGUAGGAAACUAGAGCAUAGUGAUCCGGUGUUUCCGUAUGGAAGGGACAUCGCUCAAAGGAUAAAAGGUACUCCGGGGAUAACAGGCUGAUCCCUCCCAAGAGCUCAUAUCGACGGAGUGGUUUGGCACCUCGAUGUCGGCUCGUCACAUCCUGGGGCUGGAGAAGGUCCCAAGGGUUGGGCUGUUCGCCCAUUAAAGUGGCACGCGAGCUGGGUUCAGAACGUCGUGAGACAGUUCGGUCUCUAUCUAUCGUGGGCGUAUGAAAUUUGCGUGGCUCUGACACUAGUACGAGAGGACCGUGUUGGACAGACCUCUGGUUUGCCGGUUGUGCCGCCAGGUGCAUUGCCGGGUAUCUAAGUCUGGAUCGGAUAAGUGCUGAAAGCAUCUAAGUACGAAGCCGGCCACAAGAUUAGAUUUCUCAGGGUCGUUGUAGACUACGACGUUGAUAGGAUGCAGGUGUAAAGAUGGAGACAUCAAAGCCGAGCAUUACUAAUUGCCCGUCCACUUUCCUUA
Molecule: ribosomal RNA, 1791 nt
Filed under: human gut metagenome
Description: bacterial LSU rRNA
Rfam family: Bacterial large subunit ribosomal RNA
Source: RNAcentral